GGCUGAUUAUGAGUCUUAUGUGUUUGGGACUCUAUGAUUGAGAAUUAGGAUUCUCUGAUCAUGAGUUCUACACAUUUUGGGUACCGGGGUCAAAAUUUUGAAUUUCAAAUUUUGAAUUUGAAAUUUAAACUCUUCGAUCAAGGUUUCAUAUUGAUGGACUUUGAUACCCGAUUGCCCAUUGUAUUUGGACUCAAUAAUUAUGAGAGAUUUUAUUAGUGAUUUGAUC
RNAcentral lists this long non-coding RNA (226 nucleotides) under Elaeis guineensis (African oil palm). RNAcentral's name for it is "long non-coding RNA (EGUI_LNC060305)". Lineage: Eukaryota; Viridiplantae; Streptophyta; Magnoliopsida; Arecales; Arecaceae. The record is from RNAcentral.